UACGUAGGGUGCGAGCGUUAAUCGGAAUUACUGGGCGUAAAGGGUGCGCAGGCGGUUAUAUAAGACAGAUGUGAAAUCCCCGGGCUCAACCCAGGAAGUGCAUUCGAUACUGCGCGACUGGAGUCCCGGAGAGGAUGGUGGAACUCUCGGUGUAGAGGUGAAAUUCGUAGAUAUCGAGAAGAACACCGGUGGCGAAGGCGGCCAUCUGGACGGUGACUGACGCUGAGACGCGAAAGCGUGGGGAGCAAACAGG
RNAcentral lists this ribosomal RNA (253 nucleotides) under uncultured bacterium. RNAcentral describes it as "partial 16S ribosomal RNA". It matches the Rfam family "Bacterial small subunit ribosomal RNA", at positions 524 to 776 of the family's 1533-position model. The record is from RNAcentral.